GUGGCAUAUGCCUGUAAUCCCAGCCACUGAGGCUGGAGGAUUGCAGGUUCGAAGCCAGCCUCAGCAACUUAUCAAGGACCUAAGCAACUUAGCAAGGCCCUAUCUCAACAUAAAAAAUAAAAGGCUGGGAUGUGGCUUAGUGGUUAACCACCCUUGGGUUCAAUCCCUGGUACAAAAAAGAAUCCUCAUUGCUUUUUGUAUAUUAGUAGUUAACUUCAUUCUUGCAUCUUAGAGGUAAGCAUUUUGAGUUCUGAAGAACUUGUCAACACAGUACCAUACAGGCAGAAGAGAAGGCUGAUUGUCCUGAUUAGAAUUCUUACAACACACAGAUUUUUAACUUCUGACAUGGAAAUUCAUCCUAAACCUCAACCAGACAGCUGUGCAGAGUUCUUGAGAUUUUCCCCUUGAGUUGGGGUGUAUCUGCCAGUUUGCAGGAGGCCAAAGCCUGAUUUGUGUUCCUCACAGGCUCACCACAUACAAAUCCUCUUGCAGGCUAAAUUUCAGGGUCUGUGUGCUUCUCAAUUGUAUUAGAAUGACUGGUAUUAGAAUUUGAAAAGGGCAGCCAGGAGUGAGGGGAGAUGUUCUGUUACUGGAUGGAUCUUACCUAUUGUGUUUGCCUAAAAAACAACUUCCUGCAGCCCUCAUUUUGUAAGAUUGGUUUCCAUAGUGGGGUUUUGUGGGGUAAGUAGCAAUAAAAACCCCAGGGAACCAUGGCAUUAAGUCACCAUUUGUAAGGUUUUGGUCUUGCGUAGACAUUGGAUAUUGUGCUGUGAAAUGGAAAUGACAGUGACAUCCACUCUUAUUAAAGAGCCCCUAAUCUCAUCCUGACAGAGGAGAACUUUGUGAGCCACCAAAUGCUUCAGGAGUGAUGUAAAUUAACUUGAAAAUGAAGGAGCAGGAACGCAGCAGGUGUGGGGUUGGCAGUAGGCACACAACAGAAGGGGACGUAGAUCCAGACUUGACAGGUGGCGUGUGCCCCUCGCUGCACAAAUGUAGAGUGUCCCAGGCCUCCAAUAAGUUUAGAACCUGAGUGGCCAGGAAGACCCUCAGGAGUGUCCAUGGUCUCAUCAGGAAGCCUGGCUGUGCCCUGCCUCUAGAGAGGUCAGGUUCCACCCAUGAUGCCCCCCAGUGUACUGUGGCAGAGAUGUUAAAGCAACUAUUGGCUUAUAGAUGAACCAGGAAACAUUCAUCUCCUGUUUUCAGAGUUUUAUUGAUUGAGAGAGAGAGACUUGAUUUGUACCCAAAGAUCGUUUUCAAGACAGAUGGUUCUGUUACCGCUGUUGGCCGGUGACGAGUCCUUGCUUCCCCAAUGUUGAAGAAUAACACCAGAAAAGCACGCCGAGGCAAGGUCAGAGUAGAAAUUAGAAGUUUAUUAAAGGACUGCAGAAAAGACUUCUCCCUGAGGAAGAAGGGGACCCAAGAGGUGGAAUCCGUGGAAGUGCGGUUGUCUCCCCUUUUUAUAGUUUUGGUGAUGGAAUGUAAGGGGAAGGCCCGAGGGGUGGGACACAGGUGGGCCAAACAAGUAAUCUGGGCAGGAAGGACUUCAUUAUCACUUCUUGGGAUGGGCUAUCUCCAAAUCUGUUGGGGCUGUUCCCACGGUUCUAUUAACAUUUCUUUGGGGUGGACUUUGGCCUAGGGCCUUUCAUUAACAUUUCAUGAGUUGUCCUGCGUUUCAUUGUCAGCAUGGCCUCCAUUUUAGAUUUCACUUGAUAUGAUAUUAGACCCAAUUUACCUAACUACACUGACUACCUAACUUUAAAUCUGGCUUCAGUUCUGCCCACCUUCAGCAAGUUUGGGAGUAUCCAUAAAGCUUGUUCUACUCAGAUGACUUCAGAAAAUGUGUCACAUACCCACUUUAUUUUAGGAAGACAUUAUUAAAAUGAAGAUUUUGAUUCUGUAGGUCCAAGAGUCUGAGAGUGCCUUUCUGACAAGCUCCCACACAGUGCCAAUGCCAGG
This 1956-nucleotide long non-coding RNA is filed under the name Marmota monax (woodchuck). The record is from RNAcentral. Lineage: Eukaryota; Metazoa; Chordata; Mammalia; Rodentia; Sciuridae.